Molecule: ribosomal RNA, 253 nt
Filed under: uncultured bacterium
Lineage: Bacteria
Description: partial 16S ribosomal RNA
Rfam family: Bacterial small subunit ribosomal RNA
Source: RNAcentral
GACGUAGGGCGCGAGCGUUGUCCGGAUUUAUUGGGCGUAAAGAGCUCGUAGGCGGUUUGUCACGUCGGGUGUGAAAGCCCACAGCUUAACUGUGGGUCUGCAUUCGAUACGGGCAGACUAGAGGCAGGUAGGGGAGAACGGAAUUCCCGGUGUAGCGGUGAAAUGCGCAGAUAUCGGGAGGAACACCGGUGGCGAAGGCGGUUCUCUGGGCCUGUACUGACGCUGAGGAGCGAAAGCGUGGGGAGCGAGCAGG